RNAcentral lists this ribosomal RNA (373 nucleotides) under uncultured eukaryote. RNAcentral describes it as "partial 18S ribosomal RNA". It matches the Rfam family "Eukaryotic small subunit ribosomal RNA", at positions 592 to 976 of the family's 1831-position model. The record is from RNAcentral.
CAAUAGCGUAUAUUAAAGUUGUUGCAGUUAAAAAGCUCGUAGUUGAAUUUUUGCUUGCCGCCGAUGUCGGAACUUCCGUACGUUCGGCGGCGUGCAUCCUUGGGUGGAACCUGUGUGGCAUUAGGUUGUCGUGCAGGGGAUGCUCAUCGUUUACUGUGAAAAAAUUAGAGUGUUCAAAGCAGGCUUACGCCGUUGAAUAUAUUAGCAUGGAAUAAUAAGAUAGGACCUUGGUACUAUUUUGUUGGUUUGCGCACCGAGGUAAUGAUUAACAGGGACAGUUGGGGGUAUUCGUAUUCCAUUGUCAGAGGUGAAAUUCUUGGAUUUCUGGAAGACGAACUACUGCGAAAGCAUCUACCAAGGAUGUUUUCAUUAA